GGCUUCUUUUUAGCUUUACUCUUUCUCAUGUAUCAUAGAUGAGCUGCAUUUAAGCUACAGCCAAGAGUACCUCCUUGCAGGUCCACGCACUGGAGAUAACGGAGGUCCUUGCUGUGAAGAAAGGGGAAUAGAGAUGCAAGGGAAUGAUGGAGCUGAAAAGAAGUACAAUAAGAGACUUUGGCAAACUUUUUUCACAGGACAAUGAUUCAUCAGUUUGCUCUCUUCUACUUAUGAAUCAUCUGGAAGUGGGCUUUGCCACAGUGUAUGCUCAAUCUAAAAGAUGAUGGCUGUACCACGACACACAAAGGACCCGAGAAAAGAUGAAACAAAGGUCACUCAUCUCUGGGCCCUGCAAACAGUGCAAGGCAAGAAACUCUUACCAUCCCGAAGGCCCGUUGUUGUGCACUCCACUGAUGAAUCAUCAAAUAUCCAGUGUGGAACCCUGCAGAUACCAGUAAGGUGUGCCAAUUAACAGAAUAAUGAUGUAGAUUGCUCUUAAUCAUAAUAGGCCAUUAAUUUUCUGGUAACUCAUAAUACAAAUAAGACGGUAGCUAUCCAAGCAUCCCAGUCACCUCAAUUUCACAUAGUAGUUUCCCUCCAAUGAUUUUCUUCCCCCUGAGAAACUGUCCUCAUGGAUUAUUGUAAAACCAUUUUUCUUGUCUUUCAUACCCCUUCUGCUUCCACUCAUUUGUACAGUCUUCUUCCCAGAUGCUUCUACUGAGAAUGUCAGUAGGAAAAAUACAGCACCAAUAAAGCCAGUGAGAGAAAGGCUGAAUAAUAAAACUAGGAGAUUUGAAGUUGGACAAAGGGUUGCUUUCUUCAGUUCCUCUUAAAAAAAAAAAAAAAAAA
Phasianus colchicus (ring-necked pheasant) is the source of this 849-nucleotide non-coding RNA. The record is from RefSeq and is a predicted model, not a curated record. Lineage: Eukaryota; Metazoa; Chordata; Aves; Galliformes; Phasianidae.